GACGAACGCUGGCGGCGUGCUUAACACAUGCGAGUCGAACGGAAAGGCCCUGCUUUUGUGGGGUGCUCGAGUGGCGAACGGGUGAGUAACACGUGAGUAACCUGCCCUUGACUUUGGGAUAACUUCAGGAAACUGGGGCUAAUACCGGAUAGGAGCUCCUGCUGCAUGGUGGGGGUUGGAAAGUUUCGGCGGUUGGGGAUGGACUCGCGGCUUAUCAGCUUGUUGGUGGGGUAGUGGCUUACCAAGGCUUUGACGGGUAGCCGGCCUGAGAGGGUGACCGGCCACAUUGGGACUGCGGUACGGCCCAGACUCCUACGGGAGGCAGCAGUGGGGAAUAUUGCCCAAUGGGCGGAAGCCUGAUGCAGCAACGCCGCGUGCGGGAUGCCGGCCUUCGGGUUGUAAACCGCUUUCGCCUGUGACGAAGCGUGAGUGACGGUAAUGGGUAAAGAAGCACCGGCUAACUACGUG
RNAcentral lists this ribosomal RNA (468 nucleotides) under uncultured bacterium. RNAcentral's name for it is "partial 16S ribosomal RNA". It matches the Rfam family "Bacterial small subunit ribosomal RNA", at positions 28 to 507 of the family's 1533-position model. The record is from RNAcentral.